CCGGUCCCAUUCCGAACCCGGAAGCUAAGCCCUUCAGCGCCGAUGGUACUGCACUCGCCAGGGUGUGGGAGAGUAGGACGCCGCCGGAC
This 89-nucleotide ribosomal RNA is filed under the name Cellulomonas hominis. Lineage: Bacteria; Bacillati; Actinomycetota; Actinomycetes; Micrococcales; Cellulomonadaceae. RNAcentral also lists the same sequence under 1 other name. The record is from RNAcentral.